UGGGGAAUAUUGCACAAUGGGCGAAAGCCUGAUGCAGCGACGCCGCGUGAGGGAUGACGGCCUUCGGGUUGUAAACCUCUUUCAGCAGGGACGAAGCGCAAGUGACGGUACCUGCAGAAGAAGCACCGGCUAACUACGUGCCAGCAGCCGCGGUAAUACGUAGGGUGCAAGCGUUGUCCGGAAUUACUGGGCGUAAAGAGUUCGUAGGCGGUUUGUCGCUUCGUUUGUGAAAACCAGCAGCUCAACUGCUGGCUUGCAGGCGAUACGGGCAGACUUGAGUACUGCAGGGGAGACUGGAAUUCCUGGUGUAGCGGUGAAAUGCGCAGAUAUCAGGAGGAACACCGGUGGCGAAGGCGGGUCUCUGGGCAGUAACUGACGCUGAGGAACGAAAGCGUGGGUAGCGAACAGG
RNAcentral lists this ribosomal RNA (409 nucleotides) under bacterium. RNAcentral's name for it is "partial 16S ribosomal RNA". It matches the Rfam family "Bacterial small subunit ribosomal RNA", at positions 355 to 776 of the family's 1533-position model. The record is from RNAcentral.